UAAACUAGGAUUAGAUACCCUAUUAUUUAAAAUGUAAAAUUAUUUGCUAAAUUAGUAUCAGUUAUGUUCUUGAAAAUUAAAAAAUUUGGCGGUAUUUUAGUCUUUUCAGAGGAACCUGUCCUGUAAUUGAUAGUCCACGAUAAAUUAUACUUUAUUUAUUAAUUUACAUAUCGUCGUAGUUUAAAUAUUUUAGUAGAAUUUGAAUAUUUAAAAUUUUUUAUUAAAAAAUAAAUCAGAUCAAGGUGUAGUUUAUAGUAAAGUAGAGAUGGGUUACAAUAAAAUUAUUUAAAGAUAAUUUUUUGAAAAAAAAUUUGAAUUAGGAUUUGAUAGUAAUUUUAAAUAUUUUUUUAAAAUGAUUAUAGCUCUAAAAUAUGCACACAUCGCCCGUCGCUCUUAA
This 397-nucleotide ribosomal RNA is filed under the name Bruchidius fulvus. Its description in RNAcentral is "partial 12S small subunit ribosomal RNA". Lineage: Eukaryota; Metazoa; Arthropoda; Insecta; Coleoptera; Chrysomelidae. The record is from RNAcentral.